This 498-nucleotide ribosomal RNA is filed under the name Bacillus licheniformis. Its description in RNAcentral is "bacterial SSU rRNA". It matches the Rfam family "Bacterial small subunit ribosomal RNA", at positions 459 to 955 of the family's 1533-position model. Lineage: Bacteria; Bacillati; Bacillota; Bacilli; Caryophanales; Bacillaceae. The record is from RNAcentral.
GGGCGGUACCUUGACGGUACCUAACCAGAAAGCCACGGCUAACUACGUGCCAGCAGCCGCGGUAAUACGUAGGUGGCAAGCGUUGUCCGGAAUUAUUGGGCGUAAAGCGCGCGCAGGCGGUUUCUUAAGUCUGAUGUGAAAGCCCCCGGCUCAACCGGGGAGGGUCAUUGGAAACUGGGGAACUUGAGUGCAGAAGAGGAGAGUGGAAUUCCACGUGUAGCGGUGAAAUGCGUAGAGAUGUGGAGGAACACCAGUGGCGAAGGCGACUCUCUGGUCUGUAACUGACGCUGAGGCGCGAAAGCGUGGGGAGCGAACAGGAUUAGAUACCCUGGUAGUCCACGCCGUAAACGAUGAGUGCUAAGUGUUAGAGGGUUUCCGCCCUUUAGUGCUGCAGCAAACGCAUUAAGCACUCCGCCUGGGGAGUACGGUCGCAAGACUGAAACUCAAAGGAAUUGACGGGGGCCCGCACAAGCGGUGGAGCAUGUGGUUUAAUUCGAA